Small nucleolar RNA from Danio rerio (zebrafish), 72 nucleotides. NCBI's taxonomy places the organism in Eukaryota, Metazoa, Chordata, Actinopteri, Cypriniformes, Danionidae. The record is from Ensembl.
AACCUGUGAUGAAAUGAUUCUGCCAAAUGAAUCCUAAUGAUUAUACCCCAACCGUUCCAUAUUUCUGAGGUU